Macrobrachium nipponense is the source of this 2374-nucleotide long non-coding RNA. RefSeq lists it as uncharacterized. NCBI's taxonomy places the organism in Eukaryota, Metazoa, Arthropoda, Malacostraca, Decapoda, Palaemonidae. The record is from RefSeq and is a predicted model, not a curated record. The transcript is spliced from 4 exons.
AGUUGCUCUGCUUAGUUCCGUUGAGAGUGGCGUUGAUUCUGGAGUGAUAGGUAAUUUAAUUAUACUGUGAAGGUGUCCAUGUUUAAAAAUCGGUAGAGAACCAGUGGAGUAAAUUCUAUUUGUAGGCAAGGGAAGUAAUGCUGUUGGCGAAUUAAAAUACGAACUGGAACGGAUGAAGGCCUGGCCCUGGAAACGGAAUUUAUACUGGAAGUUCAGAAUUAUGGGUGUACUUUUGAAUACUGCUGAAGUUUCGAUUGGGGAACAAACCUGGAUUUGAGAUUCAAGCCUACGAGGUAGUUCAAGGCUCAAGCAGAACAUAUGAAAGGAUAUCUUACAGAACCAGUUCGGACCGAUGUCGUAAGACUAAUAUAUCAGGAGGUAAAUCAGCUGUAAGAUAACGAAUCCAUCCCAAAUGGAUACAUGGGGAUACUACCGGGAGUUGGUGGUAGGAAAGAAGUGUCCCCAUCGCGAGCUUAGUAACAAUUUCAAAGAAACUAAUAAUGUUUGUGAAGUAGGAACACGAAUGUGCGUCCCCUAGUCGUCGACAUUGGAGGUAUGCUAGCAUCAGAAGCAGGAAUUUUGCGUGUGUUGGACAUAAAAGAGGGCAACCAAUUAAUUUCUUCCGUACACAACAGCUGCAGCAGCAAUUAAACGCCUCGAAAGCAACAGAUACAUCGUCAGAUAUAGAAGCGGCAAAAAUAGUUGUCAAUUUAUUCAGUAUGUUUCGGCUGUAGCAGCAUUAGAUGCGUCAAAGCAGCGGAGUUUCAACAUUCGAUUCGGAAGCAGCCGAAACAUUUGUCCUUUUCUUCAGACAUUAACAUCUGUAGCAUCAGUAGACUCCUCCAUAGAAUCCUCCAAAGCAGCGUAGAUCCAAUAACAGAUUAAGAACAGCAGAAACAGUUAUCAGUUUCUUCAGUACAUAACAGCUGCAGCAAGAUCAGAUGCCUCAAAAGCAGAAAAAUUCCAACAGUCGUAAUUUUCUUUCUUACAUUAACGGCUGCAGCAGCAGUAGAUUUCUCCAAGGCAGCGUAGAUAUAACAGCAGAUUUAGAAGAAGUCAAUUUCUACAGCAAUCCAAACCAGCGAAAUUCCACCAGCAGAUCCAGUAGAAGCAGGAUUAGUUGUCAACAACUUCCGUUCAUUACGGCUGUAGCAGAAUUAGAUGCCUCCUGAACAGCGUAUAUUCAACAGCAGAUCAGCAGCUGCAGAAACAAACAGUUGUCAAUUUCUUCAGAACAUAGCUGCUGCCUUAGAGGGCUCCAAAGCAGCGAAGCUCCAACAGCAAAUUCAGUUCACAAUUUAGUUUGUACAUAACAGAUGCAGCAGCAAUAGUUGCUUCCAGAGCAGUGUGAUUCAACAGCAGAUCAGUAGCAGAAACAGUUGAACAUUUCUUCCGUACACAGCAGCAUUAAGAGAACUCCAAAGCAGCGCAGCUCCAACAGCAGAAACAAUUGUCAAUUUCUCAGUACAUAGCAACAGCAGCAGCAGCAUUAGAGGGCUCCAUAGCAGCGAAGCUCCGACAGCAGAUUUCGAUAGAAGCAGAAAAAAUGUCAAUUUCUUCAGUAGUUAACAGCUGUGGCAGCAUUAGAGGCCUCCAGAGCAGCGUGGUUUAACAGCAGAUCAGUAGCAGCAAGAACAGUUGUCAAUUUCUUCUGUUCAUAACAGCUGCAACAUCAGAUACCAGAUACUACCAAAGCAGCUUAGAUCCAGUAGCAGCAGAAACAUUAAAUUUCUAAAGUACAUCAAAGCUGCAGCAGCUUUAGAAGAUGCCUCCUGACCAGCUAAGUCGCAACAGAUUCAUUAGAAGCAGCAACAGUAGUCAAUUUCUUCAGUACAUAACAGCUGCAGCAAGAUCAGAUGCCUCAAAUGCAGCUGUGUUGCAACAGUGUUCUUAAUUACUUGUUACUACAGCUGUAGCCAGGACUCCUGGAAAGUAUUAGACAUUAUUAGGUACAAGAAAUAUAGCACCUGAAAUGUCAUUCAGUUGCUAGCUUUCAUAUUUUGUUAGAUAUACGAUGAACAGAAACACACAAAAUAUACAAUGUAAACCAAAUAAGUACUCUUACACAUCCCUCUAUAUGAAUGGUAAAUGUAUUAGUGAUGAGAAUUGGGGUAACAAAGUAAUACUGAACUGAUGAUCUAUACAGACUAUGAAAUACUAUUAAAAAAGAGGCGAGAGAAUCUGGACGAUGAUAUUGGGAAACUCUGUCUGAGGUUAAUCCCUUGUAUGUAUACAAGGGUUGCAACUUUUUUGCCAAGACGAUGUAGUUUAGAUAUAUUAGCACUGUCUUGGUAGAAACCAAUAUAUAUCAGCAAAGCCUUCGUAGAAACCAGUUUGAGCUAAACUGACUACCUCAGAAUCUAAUAUGCCCUAG